Molecule: long non-coding RNA, 503 nt
Filed under: Equus caballus (horse)
Lineage: Eukaryota; Metazoa; Chordata; Mammalia; Perissodactyla; Equidae
Description: lncRNA (ENSECAG00000052983.1)
Source: RNAcentral
GUGGUCUCAGCUGCCUCCUGCCUCCCUCAGCUGCACCCAAAUCCUCUCAGGGCAGGAUAAAGGAAACUCAAUCCACUCAUCUUGUUGAUUGAAAAAGAAAAUGCUAAAAUGUAAAAGGAAGAGAAGAGAGGACUUAAUAUUGAUUGUAAUGCAUCAUUUUCCUCUGACUGCUUUGAAGAUUUCAUCAUGAAAAUUUCUCACCAGUUUGAUUUCGAUGUUUCUGAGCAUGGAUUUCUUUGAGGUAAAGUGCUUGAAACUUCAUGAAGCCAACUUGUGAUCAUGAGGAGCCAAGACUGAGCACAAUCCUCAAUAGGCUGAAGAUGGCAAAGGGGAAAGACAGAAAAAAAACCUGGAACACUAACAAUGUUGUUGAGACACUGAAAUAGACAAUCCUGGAAGUGAUCUAUCUCUGAACUUACUAUUUACAGGAGAUGAUUUCUUUCUUUCUUUUUUUUAAUCAUUAAGCCAAUGAAUGUUGGGCUUUCUGCCAAAUACAGUUGAAA